AAUAGGGCCUGAAUAGCAAUCAUAUCAAGACUAAUCUGUCUGCAGAAUGCUGUAAGGGCAACUACUGUGCUUUACUGACCAAAAAAGGAUCCCUAAGCAGUAGAUACGCAAAUGUCUGGCAGCAAAGAUAGCAUACCUCUGUAAGAAUUUUGGCUCCUGGUACGUGCUUGCUCACA
RNAcentral lists this microRNA precursor (176 nucleotides) under Mustela putorius furo (domestic ferret). RNAcentral's name for it is "miRNA (ENSMPUG00000023785.1)". Lineage: Eukaryota; Metazoa; Chordata; Mammalia; Carnivora; Mustelidae. The record is from RNAcentral.